CCAGACUCCUACGGGAGGCAGCAGUGAGGAAUAUUGGUCAAUGGGCGCGAGCCUGAACCAGCCAAGUAGCGUGAGGGAAGACUGCCCUAUGGGUUGUAAACCUCUUUUAUGCGGGGAUAAAGGUGUCCACGUGCGGAUGUUUGCAGGUACCGCAUGAAUAAGGACCGGCUAAUUCCGUGCCAGCAGCCGCGGUAAUACGGAAGGUCCGGGCGUUAUCCGGAUUUAUUGGGUUUAAAGGGUGCGCAGGCGGAAUGUCAAGUCAGCGGUAAAAUUUCGGGGCUCAACCCCGUCGUGCCGUUGAAACUGGCGUUCUUGAGUGAGCGAGAAGUAUGCGGAAUGCGUGGUGUAGCGGUGAAAUGCAUAGAUAUCACGCAGAACUCCGAUUGCGAAGGCAGCAUACCGGCGCUCAACUGACGCUCAUGCACGAAAGCGUGGGUAUCGAACAGGAUUAGAUACCCGCGUAAC
This 465-nucleotide ribosomal RNA is filed under the name uncultured bacterium. Its description in RNAcentral is "bacterial SSU rRNA". It matches the Rfam family "Bacterial small subunit ribosomal RNA", at positions 331 to 795 of the family's 1533-position model. The record is from RNAcentral.